Molecule: ribosomal RNA, 497 nt
Filed under: uncultured bacterium
Lineage: Bacteria
Description: partial 16S ribosomal RNA
Rfam family: Bacterial small subunit ribosomal RNA
Source: RNAcentral
GACGAACGCUGGCGGCGUGCCUAAUACAUGCAAGUUGAGCGCUGAAGGUUGGUACUUGUACCGACUGGAUGAGCAGCGAACGGGUGAGUAACGCGUGGGGAAUCUGCCUUUGAGCGGGGGACAACAUUUGGAAACGAAUGCUAAUACCGCAUAAAAACUUUAAACACAAGUUUUAAGUUUGAAAGAUGCAAUUGCAUCACUCAAAGAUGAUCCCGCGUUGUAUUAGCUAGUUGGUGAGGUAAAGGCGCACCAAGGCGAUGAUACAUAGCCGACCUGAGAGGGUGAUCGGCCACAUUGGGACUGAGACACGGCCCAAACUCCUACGGGAGGCAGCAGUAGGGAAUCUUCGGCAAUGGACGAAAGUCUGACCGAGCAACGCCGCGUGAGUGAAGAAGGUUUUCGGAUCGUAAAACUCUGUUGGUAGAGAAGAACGUUGGUGAGAGUGGAAAGCUCAUCAAGUGACGGUAACUACCCAGAAAGGGACGGCUAACUACGUG